ACUACGGGUGGCAGCAGUGGGGGAUAUUGCACAAUGGGGGGAACCCUGAUGCAGCGACGCCGCGUGGGUGAAGAAGCGCCUCGGCGCGUAAAGCCCUGUCAGCAGGGAAGAAAAUGACGGUACCUGAAGAAGAAGCCCCGGCUAACUACGUGCCAGCAGCCGCGGUAAUACGUAGGGGGCAAGCGUUAUCCGGAUUUACGGGGUGUAAAGGGGGCGGAGACGGCGAUGCAAGCCAGGAGUGAAAGCCCGGGGCCCAACCCCGGGACUGCUCUUGGAACUGCGUGGCUGGAGUGCAGGAGGGGCAGGCGGAAUUCCUGGUGUAGCGGUGAAAUGCGUAGAUAUCAGGAGGAACACCGGUGGCGAAGGCGGCCUGCUGGACUGCAACUGACGUUGAGGCCCGAAAGCGUGGGGAGCAAACAGGAUUAGAUACCCUAGUAGUC
Molecule: ribosomal RNA, 440 nt
Filed under: uncultured bacterium
Lineage: Bacteria
Description: partial 16S ribosomal RNA
Rfam family: Bacterial small subunit ribosomal RNA
Source: RNAcentral